GGCGCACCGGAGGUAUCCAGCCGCGACCGGGACCCAGGUUUGAGCAGAGCUCUUCGACAGUAUCACCCACCCCGCAUCCCUGAGGCAGGCACCCAUGAACCUGGGCGGCUCCAUUCUUUCUUCUCGCCCACCCCGCUGCCUGGCAUCUAAAGACGAGUGGGCCCCUCCCCAGCCGUGAGCUGGGUGGGGCUCAGGCUGCGGACCCUACUGGGGCCUGGGGAGCGGCCCAACCCGGGUCCUGGAGAGCGGUUGACAUUCUCGAGGAAGUGGCCCUGGAAGAUUAGGGGCGCUGGGCAUCAGAGGAGCGCCUGGUCACUGAGUGCCACUGGGUGGCUCGGGUCGCUGGCCAGCGCUGACCAAGUUUGGGAAGCCUAAGAUGGCAAAUCCCCAACGUCCAAAACUUUGUUGGGGUCCGCUGAGCCUAUGUCCCGGUGUCUUCCUGAAUCCCCUCUACCAUAACUACAUUCUGCCUUCCAGGCUUCAGGAGUAGGCAAAUACAGACGCGGAAUGAAAAUGCUCACUUUGCAAGUGAACGGUGGACACACGUACCCACUGGGACCCGGAGAGGUGGUCCUGGGUGUUAAAACAUCUGAAGAGAGAGAUGGGGAAUCUGGAAAGAAACCGGCUGUGGGAGCGAGGGGAAGGGUUGGGGAAAGAAGGAGGGGUGCAGCCUGAGGAAAGGCGAGUAAAGCAGCUGGCAAGGGCGGGAGGAAGAGGCUGCGCUCAGACCGAGUGGGGGAGAGGCUGGCAGGAGCGAGGAGAGCUGCAGGCGAGAGGGGGAGGCUGCUGGAAGGAAGCACCGGCGAACGCGGGCAGGGGAACUUCAGAGGAGGCUGCCAAAAAGGACUGGAGCUGCAGCAGUGCGAGGCAGUGGACAAGGGGGGCAGCAACCACCAGCCCUUGGCAGCCAGCAGAGGGGAAGAGGAGCCCACGGGAAAGAAAAGCAGGCGAGGUUAAGAAUAAAGAGUGUUCCAGGUAUGACAGCUACCUCGGUGAGGUGGAAGAGAGAAUUGACAAGGCAGAUUUCAUGGGUGAGUUGGAAAAGCAAGAAGCAGGACUACAAGAGGUCAUAUGUGACCUUCUAUCUGUGCUUGUCUAA
This is a long non-coding RNA of Callithrix jacchus (white-tufted-ear marmoset), 1099 nucleotides long. Lineage: Eukaryota; Metazoa; Chordata; Mammalia; Primates; Cebidae. The record is from Ensembl.